AUGGGACUCUAUCUUUAUUCUCGUCCGAUUAAUCUCAGUUCGUCAAAAGAUCUAUCAGACUGUGGAGUGACACUUAUUUUAUCAAUGAAUAGUCGAUUCUUUCUUGAACUCGGAAUCGCUUCCUAA
RNAcentral lists this transfer RNA (126 nucleotides) under Sedum bulbiferum. RNAcentral describes it as "partial tRNA-Leu". Lineage: Eukaryota; Viridiplantae; Streptophyta; Magnoliopsida; Saxifragales; Crassulaceae. The record is from RNAcentral.